This 574-nucleotide ribosomal RNA is filed under the name uncultured bacterium. RNAcentral describes it as "bacterial SSU rRNA". It matches the Rfam family "Bacterial small subunit ribosomal RNA", at positions 28 to 641 of the family's 1533-position model. The record is from RNAcentral.
GAUGAACGCUGGCGGUAUGCUUUACACAUGCAAGUCGUACGAGAGUUUUUAACUCAAGUGGCGGACGGGUGAGUAACACGUAAGAAUUUGCCUUUAGGAGGGGGACAACAACUGGAAACGGUUGCUAAUACCCCAUAUGCUUUCGAGCGAAAUGGAUUUUUCCGCCUAAAGAGAAGCUUGCGGCUGAUUAGCUUGUUGGUGAGGUAAUGGCUCACCAAGGCGACGAUCAGUAUCUGGUUUGAGAGGACGAUCAGACACACUGGAACUGAGACACGGUCCAGACUCCUACGGGAGGCAGCAGUGGGGAAUUUUCCGCAAUGGGCGAAAGCCUGACGGAGCAAUACCGCGUGAGGGAUGACGGCCUAUGGGUUGUAAGCCUCUUUUUUCAGGGAGGAAUCAAAUGACGUGUACCUGAAGAAUAAGCAUCGGCUAACUCCGUGCCAGCAGCCGCGGUAAGACGGAGGAUGCAAGUGUUAUCCGGAAUCACUGGGCGUAAAGCGUCUGUAGGUGGUCCAAUAAGUCAACUGUUAAAUCUUGAGGCUCAACCUCAAAAUCGCAGUCGAAACUAUUAGAC